GAAGAGGGAGGAGGCCUGCCUUGCAGGCUGAAGGUAGCAACUGCCUCAGACAGCGCAGUGCUGGAGGCAGAGACCCAGGGAGCUAAAGGCAGCUCCUGGCGGGCUGUAGGGAUCUGUAGGCUGAGGCAAGGGCAAACAGGGUGUGGGGGGGAUGCAGGGAAGUGGCCCAGGGAAAGAUACUGAAAGGUUGGAGGAGAUGCAGCUUGUGGGCUGGGACCUGGAAUAGUGGAUGGGCCUGGGUUCUGCCCUUCCCCCACCUUGCCACUGAGGAAGUGGCCAGACAAUUGGCUGCAGAAGCCACUGAGGGAAGUGGCUGGACAGCAGAUGGUGAUACUGUCCUCUGGAAGGGGGGAGCACAGAGUGCGGCACUGCCGGAGGGGCUGUAUCAUGAAGAGGACACUGUGGCCCUGGGAGUGAUGUGGGUCCCUGGAGCAGAAGUGACUGGGGCAAGACACCACCAGAAGAGGGCACACCGGCUAGCAGAGCUGUUCCUUGGGAUGUCCAGCUUGGGCUGUCACAGUGCAAACAGACAGCAUCCAUGAGAUGCUGGUGGACAUCCUGGCGGCAAUUUCUGAUCCACCAAAGGUGCCUGAUGGAGGAGGAUGACGAUACAGAUGUAGAGGAAUAGAACUGCCUGAUGCUGCUUGUGACUCUUGGUGUGGUUGCUGAUGCCCUCUACAUAGACUGGCACUUCUGGAGCAGGGCCACAAGCACAACAGACUGGUGGGAUCACAUCAUAUGGACCUGAGGUGACCAGAACUUUCACAUGAAGAAAGCUACAUUUCUGGAGCAUUGUGAGCAGCUUCCCCCACCCUCCAGAUUGGGGGACACUCAUGACGGCAGCCAUACUGGUUCAGAAGCAGGUUGCUAUAACAGUCUGGAACCUGGCUAUCCCAGACUGCUACAAGUCCAUUGCUAACCAGUUCAGAACUGGAAAAUCACCCACAUGUAAAGUGGUUGCCUCCAAAAGUUUUGCAAUCAGUCAUGUAUUUUACCCAAUAGUGGUGGUCAUAAACAAUAUCCCUGAAGUAACUGCUGAUUUUUGAGAGAAUGGGGUUUCCAAAUUUCUCCAUUGACUCAGGUGCCCACAUUUUGUCCUCCUCAAGGAGCACGUGGGUACAUAAACUGCAAAGGGUACUACCCCAUUGUUAUACAAGCCCUUUUGGACCACAGAGGCUGACUUACAGAUGCCAAUGUGGACUGCACUGGAAAAGUUCAUGAUGCCAGGGUUUCCAACAAUUGGGAGUCUACAUUCAUGGACAGCCUGGGACACUAUUUCCACCAAUGACGUUGUAAUAAAUGGAGUUACUGUCCCCACUUUUGUCCUGGGUGACCCAUGUACCCUCUUUUGCCUGGGCUUACAAAACCAUAAUGAUUUCAGAGGCCUUGGCCAAAGAGGUUCAAAGUCACACUCUCAGCAGGUGCAGAACAGUUGAAUGUGCAUUUGGCAGACUAAAAUCCUGCUGACGCUGUCUACAGCCCCUUUGGAUGCCCAUGUCCUCAAUGCUGUCUUCAUAAUUGUGCUUUGCUGUGCUCUUGACACAGGUGAGCCAUUUGCCCUUGAAUGGAGCUAUGACAGUCAUGGAUUGUUCCGGUACACUCAACCGGAAAGUGUACCUACCACAGCUGAGGCAGGGUGCAUUUGGGCAACACAAGUCAGGGAUGCUUUGCAUAGGCCAUUGGAAGAGAGAAUAGUACAUUUUAUGAAUGUGCUUGUACAGUCUUCACAGUAAAUGAGGAACUGUUGUCAUGCAAUGAAAUGUGGGUGUGGGAAGUGGUGGAUUGCCAUGCAUUGCAGUUAUGAAUGACAUGAGCGCUUAUGAACAGGCAAGAAUUGUGGAUUUACGGUAUGGCUUUAUGUAGAGAAAUGUAUUGGGGAAAUGUUUGCACAUAGCUUCCCAGUUGUUCCUUCUGUUUGCCUUUAUUAUUUGAAACACGUAUUAUAGGAUGUGAUGCAGUGAUGACAAUAAAAUUUCUUUUUUUUUUUUU
This is a long non-coding RNA of Dermochelys coriacea (leatherback sea turtle), 1989 nucleotides long. RefSeq lists it as uncharacterized. Lineage: Eukaryota; Metazoa; Chordata; Testudines; Dermochelyidae. The record is from RefSeq and is a predicted model, not a curated record. The transcript has 2 exons.